Molecule: long non-coding RNA, 1000 nt
Filed under: Prunus dulcis (almond)
Lineage: Eukaryota; Viridiplantae; Streptophyta; Magnoliopsida; Rosales; Rosaceae
Description: sRNA ncRNA
Source: RNAcentral
UACCACAUACAGAUUUAUACUAGAGUAACCUAGACACCGAUCUUUGAAUCGAAUUUGAUCUUUCGUCUCAAGUUAGGUCAUAGCUUCUGCUGUUUCUUCUCCAAGAUGACCAAGACACAGGCACAAGAGAACCAACCUCCAGCAGGUACCUUCUUUCUGUGCGACAAAUUUUAUUUUUAUCCUUACGAUAUAGCAGGACUCACUUCUGUUUUUUUUUUUUUAUAAAUAUAUUUUUAAAUAUGGUUUUGGUUUGAAGGAUACCCAACUGCAUCUGGGAAUCCCCCAACUGGGAAGAAGUUUAGGCCUCGGACAAAAAAGAAGGGAGACAAGGGCUUUAUUGAGGGAUGGUAAGUUGUUAGACAUCUUAUUUUGCAUCAGUUUUUUUUCCUUUCAAUCAUCAUUGUAAAAAUUUCUUAAAUCUUAGAAAAGCAAGAGACCUGCUACCUAACUCAUAAGUCACCAACAGCGUCUAGCCCAGUAAAAAAGAGCCUUGACUUGCAAACCAAUGGUCUCAAGUUCUAACCUCAUGGCCCAUUGGUACUGUGUGUGAGUAACCCCCUCCCCCUUGUAGUUUAGACUAUCGAUUGUAUUAAAAAAUAAAAAUAAAAUAAAAAAACUCACAAGCCAAAAUCCAAUAGAAUCACUGCAGAAAUUAGUGGACUUGUACCUAAAACCCAAAUUACUGCAUCCCCGAGCACUAUGGAUCUCCUCAUAGUGGAACCUAUUCGUCCUAUACUUGUAGCAUUCAAAACUGCCUACUUUUUUCCCUAGUCCUGUCAAUUGAUGCUAAUCAUUUUGUUUCUUUUGUGAUAUCUAUUGGUGCAGCCUCUUCGCCUUAUGCUGCUGUUGGCUUUGUGAGGAAUGCUUCUGAAUUUACUAUAAGCACGACUACCAUAAUAGCUUCUUAGCUUACUCUUUUAUCUUUGUUUAGCUUGGGGCGGUUACCUGACUGUUAUUAUUUUUCCCUGUGUAUCCACAUAUUGUAAUAAUAUACCAUCAU